AUUGUUUUGGCAGAAAAGUGUAAUAGAUUUAGAAUCUUUAAAUGUAAUUUUAUUUACAGACAAUA
This 65-nucleotide transfer RNA is filed under the name Usechus lacerta. RNAcentral describes it as "tRNA-Leu". It matches the Rfam family "tRNA". From Rfam's summary of the family: Transfer RNA (tRNA) molecules are approximately 80 nucleotides in length. The record is from RNAcentral. Lineage: Eukaryota; Metazoa; Arthropoda; Insecta; Coleoptera; Zopheridae.